AAUGGAUUCUUAAACUCAAAACUAAUAUUAUAUAUCAUUUUCGAGUUUACGUUUCAAAAACUACAAAUAAUGAAUAAACUGAAUCGAACAUUGAACUGCGUAACUAAUUCAAGAUAAUAUCAAAAAGUAUGUUGAAUUUGCCCAUAGAACAAAAAACUAUCUAUACAAGAACUAACUUCACCAUCAACCUUCAGAAUACAUUAUCGACCAAUAACUUCAUUCUUCAAAAACUUGAAAAACGGGUACAACUUCAUUCUGCAUAAACAAUACAUAUAAAAUAUUAAAUUCAAUGUGAAAGGUAUACUCAAACUAACUUGAAGAAGCUAUAAAAUUAAAGACAUUUAGACGUUAACUGGAUAUCAAAUUUUUAACUAAAAAGAGAAGAAGAACAAACACUUUGUUAAGGUGAAACUGACCAAAACAUGGUCAAUAGAUCAUACAAAAAUUGUCAAAGAUGCAAAGAGAUGAAGAACUCAAUUGCCAUAAAAGCCCAGAGAAAGUCCUCUCAGGAUCAUAAGUUAGAACAUAUAAAUAAACACGAGUUAAUAUAAAAUACGUAAAACACUUUUGAAAAAGGCAGCAAGUCCAUAAAAAGGACUGUUGAGUUUGUACAUGAACAAAAUUAAACUAGAAACCCCUUGCAUCUAAAAAGUUCCAACACAACGUUGAAAUCCCAUUUUAUAAGAAUCGCCUCCUAACGUCCAUACAAAAAUUCGAUAACAUAUGAGGCAGCUUGCUAAUCUAUGUAUUCAUUUCAAUUUUCAACAUGCAACUACAAUUCAAACUAAGAGUUUUAUUUAAUUUGCAGCAUUGAAGAAAGGCAGGUUUACAUAACUCAUUUUAUUUUGCUGUAAAAAUUAUUACUGAGUGUUAUAAUCGUAAAAAUGAGAAAUAUAUACCUCUUCUGGCAUUUCAAGAU
Molecule: long non-coding RNA, 919 nt
Filed under: Erythranthe guttata (spotted monkey flower)
Lineage: Eukaryota; Viridiplantae; Streptophyta; Magnoliopsida; Lamiales; Phrymaceae
Description: long non-coding RNA (EGUT_LNC002783)
Source: RNAcentral